RNAcentral lists this ribosomal RNA (534 nucleotides) under Stolephorus dubiosus. RNAcentral describes it as "partial 16S ribosomal RNA". It matches the Rfam family "Bacterial large subunit ribosomal RNA", at positions 1931 to 2622 of the family's 2925-position model. The record is from RNAcentral. Lineage: Eukaryota; Metazoa; Chordata; Actinopteri; Clupeiformes; Engraulidae.
CCGCGGUAUCCUAACCGUGCGAAGGUAGCGCAAUCAAUUGCCCUAUAAAUGAGGGCCUGUAUGAAUGGUAUGACGAGGGUUUAACUGUCUCUUUUUUCCAGUCAGUGAAACUGAUCUGUCCGUGCAGAAGCGGACAUUUUUAUACAAGACGAGAAGACCCUAUGGAGCUUUAGGCACUAACCAACUAUCGGAAGCAAUUUUACAAGUAAAUUCCACUUUAGAUUUUCUGGUAAUGUAGUCUUAGGUUGGGGCGACCACGGGAGAAAAAGAAGCUCCCAAGUAGACAGGGAAUAACCCUGAAACCAAGAGCUACGGCUCUAAGUCGCAAAAUAUUUGACUAAUAUGAUCCGGCCGAUGGCCGAUUAACGAACCAAGUUACCCUAGGGAUAACAGCGCAAUCCUCUCCCAGAGUCCUCAUCGACGAGAGGGUUUACGACCUCGAUGUUGGAUCAGGACAUCCUAAUGGUGCAGCCGCUAUUAAGGGUUCGUUUGUUCAACGAUUAAAGUCCUACAUGAUCUGGUCCCAAACAGGGA